RNAcentral lists this ribosomal RNA (460 nucleotides) under uncultured bacterium. RNAcentral's name for it is "partial 16S ribosomal RNA". It matches the Rfam family "Bacterial small subunit ribosomal RNA", at positions 338 to 795 of the family's 1533-position model. The record is from RNAcentral.
CCUACGGGGGGCAGCAGUGAGGAAUAUUGGUCAAUGGACGAGAGUCUGAACCAGCCAAGUAGCGUGAAGGAUGACUGCCCUAUGGGUUGUAAACUUCUUUUAUAAAGGAAUAAAACGAGGCACGUGUGCCUUUUUGCAUGUACUUUAUGAAUAAGGAUCGGCUAACUCCGUGCCAGCAGCCGCGGUAAUACGGAGGAUCCGAGCGUUAUCCGGAUUUAUUGGGUUUAAAGGGAGCGUAGAUGGGUUGUUAAGUCAGUUGUGAAAGUUUGCGGCUCAACCGUAAAAUUGCAAUUGAUACUGGCAGUCGUGAGUACAGUUGAGGUAGGCGGAAUUCGUGGUGUAGCGGUGAAAUGCUGAGAUAUCACGAAGAACCCCGAUUGCGAAGGCAGCUUACUAAACUGUGACUGACAUUGAUGCUCGAAAGUGUGGGUAUCAAACAGGAUUAGAUACCCCAGUAGUC